UCUGGUUAUUGCAGAAGCCCUGUUGUUGGAGAAGCUCGGAUGUCGAUGAAGCUCGAAAGAAGUUCGGAGUAAAGUCGUUCAUGGUCGAAAGAAGUCUAGGUCGAGAUUUGGAGAAUAGUUGAUCACUGUAGAAAAUUGGCUGAUAGUGAAGCUCAGAGAGCGUUUGGAGCAGUCCGGUAGAUGAAUGGAGGAGCCCAUUAUUGGAGAAGUCCGAAUGGUAUUAUGAAAGCUCAGUCGGUCGGGGGAGUUCGAAAAGAUGCCACACA
RNAcentral lists this long non-coding RNA (266 nucleotides) under Elaeis guineensis (African oil palm). RNAcentral describes it as "long non-coding RNA (EGUI_LNC051608)". Lineage: Eukaryota; Viridiplantae; Streptophyta; Magnoliopsida; Arecales; Arecaceae. The record is from RNAcentral.